CGCCGAAGGUGGGGCUGAUGACUGGGGUGAAGUCGUAACAAGGUAGCCGUACCGGAAGGUGCGGCUGGAUCACCUCCUAACAGGGAGACAAAACUGAUUAUGAUGUCUGAUUAAAUUAUUAGGCCUUAAUCCUGUCACCUUAGGUCGAUCGGUACCUCAGAUUGAGAACUAAGAAAUAGGAAUUAAUUCUUAUAUUUUGUUUUCAGUUUUAGUUCCUAAACUUGUCUAGGUCACACCCAACAAAACUUUCUCCUGGGCUAUUAGCUCAGGCGGUUAGAGCGCACCCCUGAUAAGGGUGAGGUCCCUGGUUCAAGUCCAGGAUGGCCCAUUCGUUGUUGGGGGUAUAGCUCAGUUGGUAGAGCGCCUGCUUUGCAAGCAGGAUGUCAGCGGUUCGAGUCCGCUUACCUCCACUGAUCAACUACCUGAUAACUCAUUAUGGAGAUUGUUAUUUGUUAAAUGUGAUUUAGAUGUUGUUCAUCUGAAUGAACCUAGCUUCCUAUCAAACCUUGAUUAUUUUCUUGGCUGAUAAGACGCUGGGCUCACUGUUAUUCGAAAGAGUUUCAGUUUGAUUCAGCAGAACCUUGACAACUGCAUAGGAAAAACUAGAAAAAUAAAGCAUCUCAUAGAUGCAUAGGAAUUUGUAUUCAUUAACUUUGAUAUAAAUUUGCUAUGUUCAAUUCUUGAGUUAGAGCAUAAUUUCGAUUUAUAUCACAUAUAUAAUUCGAAUUAAUUGGUCAAGCUACAAAGGGCUCACG
This 755-nucleotide unclassified non-coding RNA is filed under the name uncultured Prochlorococcus sp. RNAcentral's name for it is "partial may contain 16S ribosomal RNA, 16S-23S ribosomal RNA intergenic spacer, and 23S ribosomal RNA". The stretch from base 338 to 410 matches the Rfam family "tRNA". The record is from RNAcentral. Lineage: Bacteria; Bacillati; Cyanobacteriota; Cyanophyceae; Synechococcales; Prochlorococcaceae.